This 1299-nucleotide unclassified non-coding RNA is filed under the name Metschnikowia similis. RNAcentral describes it as "partial external transcribed spacer". Lineage: Eukaryota; Fungi; Ascomycota; Pichiomycetes; Serinales; Metschnikowiaceae. The record is from RNAcentral.
UUCGUAGAUUUCUAAUGAGAAGAGGAGGUGAGAGUAAACUGAAAUCACUGUUCCUUGGGGACAGUGAUUGAAAGAAGUGGAGGUGAGAGAAGUGGAGGUGAGAGUAAACUGAAAUCACUGUUCCUUGGGGACAGUGAUUGAAAGAAGUGGAGGUGAGAAGAGGAGGUGAGAGAAGUGGAGGUGAGAGUAAACUGAAAUCACUGUUCCUUGGGGACAGUGAUUGAAGUGUGAGAGGGAGUCGUGCGAAGACCAAGAUGCGAGGGGUUGAGGAAUUGGCGGUGAGAAAGUACCGAGGAAGUCGUGCGAUGACCAAGAGGGAUGGAGUGGUGAAGGAGUAUUGAGAUAAUCGUGCGAUGACCAAGAGGGAUAGGAUUGAGAGUGGAGUAUGAGAGUGAAUGUGAGCAGUGUGUAAAAAAUUUUGUGCAGAAAAUUCUUGAGUGUGUUUGUGUUUGUGUUUGUGUUUGUUUGUGCGUGUUUGUGUUUGUGUCUGUAUUUGUGUGUGUCUGCGUUUGUGUUUGUGUCCGUAUGCCUGUGUUUGUGUUUGUGCGCAGUGCGCUUUUGUGUUUUGUAUUGGCCGAGGGUCGUGUCUUGGCAAAACCUAUUAAAAGGCCUUCAUUUUGCUUCUAUAUGAAUUCUCGGGUCCUUAAAAUACCCCCCCAGUUGUUUCGUUAGGAAAUUCCAGGAAUUUGAAUUUUGGGAGGCAUUCCAAAGAUGCACAGUCGCAGUAUGCGCGAGAAAUGAAUACAAGAGAGGAAAUUGUGAGAGAGUGAGAAGUGGAGGGAAGAAAAAUUAGGAAAGGCAGGGGAUAUAAAUAUUUUGGAAGGGAUGUUGGAAGGGAAGUUGGAACAGUAGUUUUGUUUUAAAGGUCUUUUAAAUCUUUUUGUUGGGCCUUUUGAUGGUUGGUUGGUGGCGCGCAGUAGUGGCGAAUUUCCCGGAUUUUACUCAACUUUUGUGAGGCGUCAAAAAAAUAAAUAUUUUCGCAGGUAACAAAUUUUGUGGCUGCAGCUUUUCGCGCCCGGAGGUACUAUAUGAGAGAGAUCUCUAGGAAUAAAGUGUAAGAACUUAGUUCCGAUGAAGUGAAUUAUAUAAACUAUACCUCCAGUCGGAGGUAUAUCUAUAGUUCCUUCCUGGCCUCGCGAUUUAUCGCUCAAGUCUCGGGCUGACAACGUCUUCCCGAGCAAGGUGAAACAGUGGAUUACUAGGCAAUGCCAAGUCCACCAAAACCCAGAUCAUUAGAUCUUUUUGCUACGAGUCAGUGGACAAUCCAGUCUUAAUAACUUCUACAUAGUUAUCUGGUUG